RNAcentral lists this ribosomal RNA (253 nucleotides) under uncultured bacterium. RNAcentral's name for it is "partial 16S ribosomal RNA". It matches the Rfam family "Bacterial small subunit ribosomal RNA", at positions 524 to 776 of the family's 1533-position model. The record is from RNAcentral.
UACAGAGGUCCCAAGCGUUGUUCGGAUUCAUUGGGUGUAAAGGGUGCGUAGGCGGCGCGGUAAGUCGGGUGUGAAAUCUCGGGGCUUAACUCCGAAACUGCAUUCGAUACUGCCGUGCUUGAGGACUGGAGAGGAGACUGGAAUUUACGGUGUAGCGGUGAAAUGCGUAGAUAUCGUAAGGAAGACCAGUGGCGAAGGCGGGUCUCUGGACAGUUCCUGACGCUGAGGCACGAAGGCCAGGGGAGCAAACGGG